AAGAACCAGACAGUCAGCGGCGACUCAGCAGCUAAAUGCUCUACCUGGGUUCAGCCUAGAGGGCCUCAAUGCUGUUUUCAGUUCCAGUCCAAACAAUUUGUACACCUGUUGAAGAGAAAAAUAAAAUAUGACAGCAGCGCAAAGUCCAGAGGAUUUAAGCGAUUUACACUGAGGCCUUAAAUCUCAGCAGCAAAGGCCAGGGUACUUAGCAAGUCCUUUUCAUGGAGUGCGAGCAUGCAGAGACAUUUAGGCUCUGACCGGUAUUCUGCACAGGCUGAACAUACACUCUAGAAUACCUUUGAUGUUGCCAUAAUUGUGUGUGUGAUCCUUAAUCACAGAUGUCAUCCAAUUUUAUUAAAUCUAGUGUAGAUAAAACC
RNAcentral lists this long non-coding RNA (377 nucleotides) under Mus pahari (shrew mouse). RNAcentral describes it as "predicted gene 29327 (MGP_PahariEiJ_G0004099.1)". Lineage: Eukaryota; Metazoa; Chordata; Mammalia; Rodentia; Muridae. The record is from RNAcentral.